CUGCCUCCUGAACUCUGUCUUCUGUAGGACAUGAACUUCUCAUUAACUAAGAAGUCCUGAUAGCACUGCCAAUCCCAUGUGACAGUGGACCUCAUUCAAGGGAGAAUGAGAGAAAGGAGAUGUGUUCUGAAGCACUGUCAAACCGGAGUCUCCCAAGUGACUACCUGCUGAUCAGAUUUCUAAAUGUCUGGUAUAUCUUGUGAAGAAGACUGUCAGCAUAUCAAUACCCCUGUCUGCAACAGAAGCUGAUUCUUCAGGUAAUACUGAACUUUAAACUGGUAUAAGCACAAAGAGUUAAUUAGCACUGUUAUGCAUAAGAGGGUGUCAGUGUAUGAAGUUUAUUGCAGUAGAAAAAUUCAAUGAAUUCUGUGCUAAUUUUUAAGUAAUUAAAUAAUCUUCACACUUAAUAACUUG
Molecule: long non-coding RNA, 414 nt
Organism: Gallus gallus (chicken)
Lineage: Eukaryota; Metazoa; Chordata; Aves; Galliformes; Phasianidae
Source: Ensembl